CUCUGUCUCAAAAAAAAAAUAAAAUAAAAUGAAUAAAAGUUGUAAUAUUUUCUUUCUACCUUCCUGCUUUAGAAGCUCUCAAGAUGAAGAGGGCAGUCUAGUGGACCACAGAAUGGGUCAUCUUUGGGAAGGUGUGACAAGACACCUCUCUGGGAGGGAUGGUGUGAGAAGCUCAGUGAAGGCACUGAGUGCUGCAUGCCUUUCCUCCUCCCCACUUCUCUGUUGCAGGCCUCCAGUGAGCAGGGCCCCACCACAGCCAGAGAAACUCCAGACAAACAAUGUAGGCAAGAAAAAGAGACCUAUAGAGGACCUUGUGUUGGAGCUCAUUUUUGGUUAUCGAGGCAGAGACUGUAGGAAUAAUGUUCACUAUUUAAAUGAUGGUGAUGAUAUAAUUUAUCACACUGCAUCUGUUGGAAUUCUGCACAAUGUUGCUACAGGUUCUCAGAGUUUUUAUCAGGAACAUAAUGAUGAUAUUCUGUGCCUCACAGUAAACCAGCACCCCAAAUUUAUCAACAUAGUGGCAACUGGCCAAGUAGGUGAUUCAGCAGACAUGUCAGCUACAGCUCCUUCUAUUCACAUCUGGGAUGCAAUGAACAAGCAGACUUUAUCUAUCCUAAGAUGCUACCAUU
RNAcentral lists this small RNA (629 nucleotides) under Pan troglodytes (chimpanzee). RNAcentral describes it as "retained intron". The record is from RNAcentral. Lineage: Eukaryota; Metazoa; Chordata; Mammalia; Primates; Hominidae.